This 497-nucleotide ribosomal RNA is filed under the name uncultured bacterium. Its description in RNAcentral is "partial 16S ribosomal RNA". It matches the Rfam family "Bacterial small subunit ribosomal RNA", at positions 28 to 507 of the family's 1533-position model. The record is from RNAcentral.
GAUGAACGCUGGCGGCGUGCCUAAUACAUGCAAGUCGAGCGAACAGAUGAGGAGCUUGCUCCUCUGCCGUUAGCGGCGGACGGGUGAGUAACACGUGGAUAACCUACCUAUAAGACUGGGAUAACUUCGUGAAACCGGAGCUAAUACCGGAUCAUAUAUUGAACCGCAUGGUUCAAUAGUGAAAGACGGUUUUGCUGUCACUUAUAGAUGGAUCCGCGCCGCAUUAGCUAGUUGGUAAGGUAACGGCUUACCAAGGCGACGAUGCGUAGCCGACCUGAGAGGGUGAUCGGCCACACUGGAACUGAGACACGGUCCAGACUCCUACGGGAGGCAGCAGUAGGGAAUCUUCCGCAAUGGGCGAAAGCCUGACGGAGCAACGCCGCGUGAGUGAUGAAGGUCUUCGGAUCGUAAAACUCUGUUAUUAGGGAAGAACAAAUGUGUAAGUAACUAUGCACGUCUUGACGGUACCUAAUCAGAAAGCCACGGCUAACUACGUG